This 104-nucleotide microRNA precursor is filed under the name Macaca mulatta rhadinovirus. RNAcentral's name for it is "Rhesus monkey rhadinovirus miR-rR1-3 stem-loop (rrv-miR-rR1-3)". Its record names the gene rrv-miR-rR1-3. The record is from miRBase by way of RNAcentral. Lineage: Duplodnaviria; Heunggongvirae; Peploviricota; Herviviricetes; Herpesvirales; Orthoherpesviridae.
CAGGGCCCGAUGAGCAGUUAGUCCGUGUUUAGUCGCGCUCCCUGUUGUGUUUAAAUUUAACAGGGUUUGCGACAGACACUGAUUCGCUGCCCAAAGUCGCCGUU